UAGAAAGGUCAUAGUGAUAGUGAUAGAAAGGUGAUAGAUAGUGAUAGAAAGGUGAUGAAUAGUGAUAGAAAGGUGAUAGAUAGUUAUCGUGAUAGAAAGGUGAUAGUGAUUGUGAUAGAAAGGUGAUGGAUAGUAAUGGUGAUAGAAAGGUGACAGAUAGUGAUUGUGAUAGAAAGGUGACAGAUAGUGAUUGUGAUAGAAAGGUGACAGAUAGUGAUUGUGAUAGAAAGGUGACAGAUAGUGAUUGUGAUAGAAAGGUGACAGAUAGUGAUUGUGAUAGAAAGGUCAUAGUGAUCGUGAUAGAAAGGUGAUAAUGAGAGUGAUAGAAAGGUGAUAGAUAGUAAUGGUGAUAGAAAGGUCAUAGUGAUAGGAAGGUGAUAGUGAUUGUGAUAGAAAGGAGAUGGAUUGUGAAAGUGAUAGAAAG
Ictalurus punctatus (channel catfish) is the source of this 424-nucleotide long non-coding RNA. The record is from Ensembl. NCBI's taxonomy places the organism in Eukaryota, Metazoa, Chordata, Actinopteri, Siluriformes, Ictaluridae.